RNAcentral lists this ribosomal RNA (120 nucleotides) under uncultured bacterium. Its description in RNAcentral is "partial 16S ribosomal RNA". It matches the Rfam family "Bacterial small subunit ribosomal RNA", at positions 796 to 915 of the family's 1533-position model. The record is from RNAcentral.
CACGCCGUAAACGAUGAAUGCUAGGUGUUGGGGGGCAAAGCCCUUCGGUGCCGUCGCAAACGCAAUAAGCAUUCCACCUGGGGAGUACGUUCGCAAGAAUGAAACUCAAAGGAAUUGACG